AAUUUCUUCAAAAGGGAAUUGAGCUACUAGAAGAUAACCAGCGAGUACAACAGAAGAGUAAUGUGGUAAAAGUUGGAGAUGCAUUAGAGAAAUGCUUAAUUGACUCAACCUCAACUAAUAGUCAUAUAUUCAAUCAACCUCAAACUCAAAGUCAAAAUCAAAAUCAUUUUGACUCAUCAGAUACUACUCUCAAACUCGGGUUACCAUUUCCCAAUUGCAGUUAUAAUUAAGGCAGUGUGUUUGUAGUUUGAAUAUUAAAAAUAUUUACUUUCAUUUUAUUUAGAAUAAGACAAAGUGUAAUAAUAAAAGAAAUAUAUGUUGUCAAGUAUAAUUUUAUAUACUUUCUACCA
This is a long non-coding RNA of Cannabis sativa, 350 nucleotides long. RefSeq lists it as uncharacterized. Lineage: Eukaryota; Viridiplantae; Streptophyta; Magnoliopsida; Rosales; Cannabaceae. The record is from RefSeq and is a predicted model, not a curated record. The transcript is spliced from 4 exons.